RNAcentral lists this ribosomal RNA (389 nucleotides) under uncultured bacterium. RNAcentral describes it as "bacterial SSU rRNA". It matches the Rfam family "Bacterial small subunit ribosomal RNA", at positions 28 to 419 of the family's 1533-position model. The record is from RNAcentral.
GACGAACGCUGGCGGCGUGCUUAACACAUGCAAGUCGAGCGGUAAGGCCCUUUCGGGGGUACACGAGCGGCGAACGGGUGAGUAACACGUGGGUGACCUGCCCUCAGCUCUGGGAUAAGCCUGGGAAACCGGGUCUAAUACUGGAUAUGACUCCAUGACGCAUGUUGUGGGGUGGAAAGCCUUGUGCGGCUGAGGAUGGGCCCGCGGCCCAUCAGCUUGUUGGUGGGGUGAGGCCUACCAAGGCGACGACGGGUAGCCGGCCUGAGAGGGCGACCGACCACACUGGGACUGAGACACGGCCCAGACUCCUACGGGAGGCAGCAGUGGGGAAUCUUGCGCAAUGGGCGAAAGCCUGACGCAGCGACGCCGCGUGAGGGAUGACGGCCUGG